AUUGAACGCUAGCGGCAUGCCUUACACAUGCAAGUCGAACGGCAGCGGGGGAGCUUGCUCCCGCCGGCGAGUGGCGAACGGGUGAGUAAUACAUCGGAACGUACCCAGUAGCGGGGGAUAGCCCGGCGAAAGCCGGAUUAAUACCGCAUACGCCCUACGGGGGAAAGGGGGGGAUCGCAAGACCUCUCACUAUUGGAGCGGCCGAUGGCUGAUUAGCUAGUUGGUGGGGUAAAGGCCUACCAAGGCGACGAUCAGUAGCUGGUCUGAGAGGACGACCAGCCACACUGGGACUGAGACACAGCCCAGACUCCUACGGGAGGCAGCAGUGGGGAAUUUUGGACAAUGGGCGAAAGCCUGAUCCAGCAAUGCCGCGUGUGCGAAGAAGGCCUUCGGGUUGUAAAGCACUUUUGUCAGGGAAGAAAUCGUUUGGGUUAAUACCCCGAGCAGUUGACGGUACCUGAAGAAUAAGCACCGGCUAACUACGUGCCAGCAGCCGCCGCCG
RNAcentral lists this ribosomal RNA (502 nucleotides) under uncultured bacterium. Its description in RNAcentral is "partial 16S ribosomal RNA". It matches the Rfam family "Bacterial small subunit ribosomal RNA", at positions 29 to 523 of the family's 1533-position model. The record is from RNAcentral.